AAACAAAUGAUUUCGACUCAUUAAACUAUGAAUACAUCAUAAUUACCAA
Molecule: transfer RNA, 49 nt
Filed under: Mammuthus primigenius (woolly mammoth)
Lineage: Eukaryota; Metazoa; Chordata; Mammalia; Proboscidea; Elephantidae
Description: partial tRNA-Arg
Source: RNAcentral